UACAAGUACUGGCAACUUGUUGGGGAGUA
This 29-nucleotide non-coding RNA is filed under the name Rattus norvegicus (Norway rat). Lineage: Eukaryota; Metazoa; Chordata; Mammalia; Rodentia; Muridae. The record is from RNAcentral.